AGCCGCAGAUAUCUUCCUGUUCACUCCACCCGCCAUUUCCGGAUAUUGGGAAAGAGAAAGAAAUACAGAGUCUAAUUAUAAUUUUCUUCCCAGGAAAGAGAUCCGGUUGCGUCGACCGUACAGCAGAAGAAAAAGACAACUCCUGCCUAAAAUGAACCCUCCAGUGACAAAGCUUGAGCCUGCAAUUUCUUGUCUUGGGUUGGUG
RNAcentral lists this unclassified non-coding RNA (205 nucleotides) under Hevea brasiliensis (rubber tree). The record is from RNAcentral. Lineage: Eukaryota; Viridiplantae; Streptophyta; Magnoliopsida; Malpighiales; Euphorbiaceae.